UUAGCCGUAGGAGGGUAGCCGCGGCUGUUUAUGCCGUCAUGCGUAAUUGUUGGUGAUUGUGAUAACGUAAGGGAAAAAAAUGAUAUUACCUUACUAUUAGUGUUGUCCAAAACUGGUGCCAGAAGACUCGGUAAGGCCAGAGACGCAAACGUUAGUCGUCCUAAUCAGGCGUAAAGGGUAUGUAGGCUGCUUUAAAAGUUUUAUUUAUAAAUAGCUCUGUAACCGUAAUAAUACAAUAAAUUUGUAUUAUAUAAAUUAUAUUUAGUCUUAUCUUUAAUUUAAUUCAUUUUUUUAAUUAAUCUGUAAGGGUUAAUUAUUGAUUUGGAAAAAAUAUAAAGAAUAUAGGCAAAAAUAAAUGAUAUUUAAAUGUUUAUAAAAUAACACUAAAAUAUACGUGUCACAGUAUAUAAUAAGAUGAAUUAAAGCUAGAAUCAAAUUGAGGAUAAACCGAAUAAUACUUAGAGUAGGGAUUAUAUCCGUAGAUACUAAGGGGAAUACUAAAGGUGAAAGCUUUUUAUCUAGUAAUGAUUGACGCUGAGAAACGAAGGUGAGAAUAGGAAAUAGGAUUAGAUACCCAGAUACCUCUCACUGUCAACGAUGAAUGGUGGUUGUUAGUUUUAAUAAAAACUGGUAACGAUGUUAACACGAUAACCAUUCCGCCUUGCGAGUACGGUUGCAAAACUGAAACCAAAAAAAUUAGUCGGUCUCGAAGCAAACGAAGUG
Molecule: ribosomal RNA, 723 nt
Filed under: Lepista saeva
Lineage: Eukaryota; Fungi; Basidiomycota; Agaricomycetes; Agaricales; Clitocybaceae
Description: partial small subunit ribosomal RNA
Rfam family: Bacterial small subunit ribosomal RNA
Source: RNAcentral